Molecule: long non-coding RNA, 1332 nt
Organism: Chionomys nivalis (European snow vole)
Lineage: Eukaryota; Metazoa; Chordata; Mammalia; Rodentia; Cricetidae
Exons: 2
Source: RefSeq, a predicted model, not a curated record
AUGAGAUGCAUCCCAACAGGGGCAGGCAGAGGAGGCCAGGAGGAGGCUGGACACCGGGGUUGCCUGGCUGUCGCCUGCUUUCUGAACCCGAGGAACUUGAAUUGUGACAGGAGAUGACAACAGGCUGCUGAGCCGCUGAAGGAAAACAGGUUCCAAACGAGCCAAAAAGGGUGAAGGGGAAGGUAUGAAGACCAGACAACUCAUCAAGAUAUCCACCCAUACAGCAGCGAGGGAAACAGCUUCAGAGCUACCGGCAACUGUGGUCAGCGCCAGUCCAGCUCCUGGCACUGGGACAAACGCCUUUGUUCCAUUUCCCAAACUUCCUGUACUUUAAGACUGUGUUUUGGUAACAGAGAAUCCCAAGGAAUGCUAGCUCUCCUCUUAAGGGCGCGAGGCUUCCAGCCUACAGGAAGGCAGGCUGGUGCGGAGGUCAGGUGACCAUCAAGACCGGUGAAAAGUGCCCCAGUGAGGCAACCAGAGCUCAGAGGCCUGGCCCUGCACCCCCUGGAGACUCAGAUCCCAGUGAGAAAGUCCAGGCUGAUCAAUAGGCCUCAGGGUGAUGAAGGGGGAGCCUCGUACAGGCCUUUGAACCUCCUCUUUGGCACAGCAAGCCUGGGAAGCCCAGAUUGUCCAUAAGGGGUGGAGUAGCCCUGUGAGCUGGCUUAGCUGGCCCUCAGUUUAGUCAUCUGGAAAUGGGGACAGAAUACCCCUUACACAGGCGACUGGGAGGGAGGAUGUCUACUUAUUAUUGUGUGUGUGUGUGUGUUUUUAAAGGAUCUUGUUAUAUAACCCGGAUUGGCGUGGAACUCACUCUGCAGCCCAAGCUGGCAUUGGGUUUUCAAUCCUCCUGCCUCAGUCUGCUGAGAUUAUAGACAUCCACCACCACAUCUGGCUCUGUUAAGGGAAUUAAAUGCCCUUAAGCCUCUAGCAGAUCAUGCCCUGCACAGACGAGGGGUGGGGAGCAGAAAAAGCUGUGUAAAGUCAGACAACUGCUCAGCCCUGGCUCUUACAGACUGGGGAAUCCACUCCACACCAACGGGACUGGUAAGAUCUCCCGUGUCGGAGCUCUCUCUGAUCCAAAGUUCUGGCACUGGAAACCUGUGGCGUUCUGGAUUCUGGACUGUGAGGAUCCCUCAGGGGCCCAGACUAUGGAAACUGUCACAAUCUGUCCUGCCACAGCCAAGCAGCAGCCUGCGGGAGCGAGAUGGAUUAUGGCUUUGUGGGGAAUCAGAUGGCUAAAAAGCCUGUGAAGGUCACAAGAGACCCAUGUGGGCUGCAGUUUCCCUUCUAAAUGUUAGCAUUGACCUUAAUAAAAUAACACCUGUGCAUGUC